Molecule: ribosomal RNA, 253 nt
Filed under: uncultured bacterium
Lineage: Bacteria
Description: partial 16S ribosomal RNA
Rfam family: Bacterial small subunit ribosomal RNA
Source: RNAcentral
GACAGAGGGUGCAACCGUUGUUCGGAAUUACUGGGCGUAAAGCGUGUGUAGGCGGCCUUUCAAGUCGGAUGUGAAAGCCCCGGGCUCAACCCGGGAAGUGCACCCGAUACUGAGAGGCUUGAGUCUCGGAGAGGUUGGUGGAAUUCUCGGUGUAGAGGUGAAAUUCGUAGAUAUCGAGAGGAACACCGGUGGCGAAGGCGGCCAACUGGACGAAGACUGACGCUGAGACACGAAAGCGUGGGGAGCAAACAGG